RNAcentral lists this ribosomal RNA (612 nucleotides) under Triticum aestivum (bread wheat). RNAcentral describes it as "partial small subunit ribosomal RNA". The record is from RNAcentral. Lineage: Eukaryota; Viridiplantae; Streptophyta; Magnoliopsida; Poales; Poaceae.
AUGGAGGAGAAGGCGGCGGCUCACAUCAACCCUGCAAACAAUAAUAUUUCUCCUUUUCACAUUCAAAAUAUACAGUUCCAAAAUGCAGGUUACAGUGAUGCUGCGUACAAUCCGGAAAUUGCAAAAGAAGAAGCUGGUCUUGGAGUUUUUCUUAGAAAUGUUAUUUUAAACCAUACUGUAUUUGUUCAAGCUGCUGCAAAAAAUGUUUGCUCUGUUUUGCAGGCUGAAGCUAUUGGAUUAUCACUGUCGGCUGAGGUGGUUAAAGCUCUAGGAUGGAAUACUGCUAUUUUCUUAUCUGAUUGCAGGAAUCUUGUCCAGGUGGCUAAAGCAAGAAACCUUUUAGAGAGUCCAGGAGAUUGGAGGAUAAGACCUAUGCUUGCUGAAUUUCUUAAUCACACUUCUUUUCUUUCAUCAUGUGAAGUCAGGUCUAUACCUAGGAAUGGGAAUGUCAUUGCUUAUUCCCUAGCUAAAAAAGCUUUUAUGCAAAGAGCUGUCUCUAGUUCUUCAAUCUUAUGCAGCAAAUCUUCUGGAUGUAAAGCUCAACAAGCUUUAAACCCUAUCUCCUUUCCUUUUCAAAAGUUGAUCUCUGUACACUGUUUGGGUUGCAAAUAA